GACGAACGCUGGCGGCGUGCUUAACACAUGCAAGUCGAACGGAAAGGCCCUGCUUUUGUGGGGUGCUCGAGUGGCGAACGGGUGAGUAACACGUGAGUAACCUGCCCUUGACUUUGGGAUAACUUCAGGAAACUGGGGCUACUACCGGAUAGGAGCUCCUGCUGCAUGGUGGGGGUUGGAACGUUUCGGCGGUUGGGGAUGGACUCGCGGCUUAUCAGCUUGUUGGUGGGGUAGUGGCUUACCAAGGCUUUGACGGGUAGCCGGCCUGAGAGGGUGACCGGCCACAUUGGGACUGAGAUACGGCCCAGACUCCUACGUGAGGCAGCAGUGGGGAAUAUUGCACAAUGGGCGGAAGCCGGAUGCAGCAACGCCGCGGGCGGGAUGACGGCCUGCGGGUUGUAAACCGCUUUCGCCUGUGACGAAGCUGGAGUGACGGUAAUGGGUAAAGAAGCACCGGCUAACUACGUG
Molecule: ribosomal RNA, 468 nt
Filed under: uncultured bacterium
Lineage: Bacteria
Description: partial 16S ribosomal RNA
Rfam family: Bacterial small subunit ribosomal RNA
Source: RNAcentral